CCUUCGGGGUACUCGAGUGGCGAACGGGUGAGUACACGUGGGUGAUCUGCCCUGCACUUUGGGAUAAGCCUGGGAAACUGGGUCUAAUACCGAAUAGGACCGCAUGCUUCAUGGUGUGUGGUGGAAAGCUUUUGCGGUGUGGGAUGGGCCCGCGGCCUAUCAGCUUGUUGGUGAGGUAAUGGCUUACCAAGGCGACGACGGGUAGCCGGCCUGAGAGGGUGACCGGCCACACUGGGACUGAGAUACGGCCCAGACUCCUACGGGAGGCAGCAGUGGGGAAUAUUGCACAAUGGGCGCAAGCCUGAUGCAGCGACGCCGCGUGAGGGAUGACGGCCUUCGGGUUGUAAACCUCUUUCGCCAGGGACGAAGCGCAAGUGACGGUACCUGGAGAAGAAGGACCGGCCAACUACGUGCCAGCA
Molecule: ribosomal RNA, 419 nt
Filed under: Mycobacterium sp. Ri484b
Lineage: Bacteria; Bacillati; Actinomycetota; Actinomycetes; Mycobacteriales; Mycobacteriaceae
Description: bacterial SSU rRNA
Rfam family: Bacterial small subunit ribosomal RNA
Source: RNAcentral